UACGUAGGGUGCGAGCGUUAAUCGGAAUUACUGGGCGUAAAGCGUGCGCAGGCGGCGCCGCAAGUCAGGCGUGAAAUCCCCGAGCUUAACUUGGGAAUGGCGCUUGAAACUACGGUGCUGGAGUGUGGCAGAGGGAGGUGGAAUUCCACGUGUAGCGGUGAAAUGCGUAGAGAUGUGGAGGAACACCGAUGGCGAAGGCAGCCUCCUGGGCCAACACGGACGCUCAUGCACGAAAGCGUGGGGAGCAAACAGG
RNAcentral lists this ribosomal RNA (253 nucleotides) under uncultured bacterium. Its description in RNAcentral is "partial 16S ribosomal RNA". It matches the Rfam family "Bacterial small subunit ribosomal RNA", at positions 524 to 776 of the family's 1533-position model. The record is from RNAcentral.